UGGGGAAUAUUGCACAAUGGGCGCAAGCCUGAUGCAGCCAUGCCGCGUGUAUGAAGAAGGCCUUCGGGUUGUAAAGUACUUUCAGCGGGGAGGAAGGGAGUAAAGUUAAUACCUUUGCUCAUUGACGUUACCCGCAGAAGAAGCACCGGCUAACUCCGUGCCAGCAGCCGCGGUAAUACGGAGGGUGCAAGCGUUAAUCGGAAUUACUGGGCGUAAAGCGCACGCAGGCGGUUUGUUAAGUCAGAUGUGAAAUCCCCGGGCUCAACCUGGGAACUGCAUCUGAUACUGGCAAGCUUGAGUCUCGUAGAGGGGGGUAGAAUUCCAGGUGUAGCGAUGAAAUGCGUAGAGAUCUGGAGGAAUACCGGUGGCGAAGGCGGCCCCCUGGACGAAGACUGACGCUCAGGUGCGAAAACGUGGGGAGCAAACAGG
Molecule: ribosomal RNA, 429 nt
Filed under: Chloroflexota bacterium
Lineage: Bacteria; Bacillati; Chloroflexota
Description: Chloroflexi bacterium partial 16S ribosomal RNA
Rfam family: Bacterial small subunit ribosomal RNA
Source: RNAcentral